RNAcentral lists this ribosomal RNA (108 nucleotides) under Octodon degus (degu). Lineage: Eukaryota; Metazoa; Chordata; Mammalia; Rodentia; Octodontidae. The record is from RNAcentral.
GUCUAGGGCCAUGCCACCCUGAAGGCGCUCGAUCUCGUCUGAUCUCGGAAGCUAAGCGGGGUCGGGCCUGGUUAGUACUUUGAUGGGAAGAGAUAUGGCAAUUGGACU